GCCGCAUUAGCUCAGUUGGUAGAGCAUAUCAUUCGUAAUGAUAGGGUCGCUGGUUCAAAUCCGGCAUGCGGCACCA
Molecule: transfer RNA, 76 nt
Filed under: Bartonella koehlerae C-29
Lineage: Bacteria; Pseudomonadati; Pseudomonadota; Alphaproteobacteria; Hyphomicrobiales; Bartonellaceae
Description: tRNA-Thr
Rfam family: tRNA
About the family: Transfer RNA (tRNA) molecules are approximately 80 nucleotides in length. Their secondary structure includes four short double-helical elements and three loops (D, anti-codon, and T loops).
Source: RNAcentral